Molecule: long non-coding RNA, 568 nt
Filed under: Chinchilla lanigera (long-tailed chinchilla)
Lineage: Eukaryota; Metazoa; Chordata; Mammalia; Rodentia; Chinchillidae
Description: lncRNA (ENSCLAG00000024052.1)
Source: RNAcentral
AUGCCAGUAACACCAUCAUCACCUCUACUGUUACUACUAUCAGCAUCACCGCCAGAGCUGCUAGUCAUUACUACCAUGAUCUGCGGCACCACGGCUGUCACUAGUACAAGACACCACCACCACUGCUGCCAUAGUAAUCAUCAAGUGGAACCUGGCAUGGUACCAGCAGAAUCCCAGGAUCUAAAAGCUGGAGUGCUAACAAGAACCCAACCCAAGGCAGAUGUCCCUACCUUACUCCUACCACAGGAGCCAGAGCUGUCACACAGGCCCGAAUGUUAACUAUCCUCACAGAAUAUGAACGAUAGGCUUGACUCCCUGUCAGAGAGGAACCCCUGUUGUUAGUCAUGGAACAACCACUUGGUUUAGAGCGACCUCUAAACCAGCAUAAAAUGAGGCUUGACAUCCCUCUGAGGAGUUCGUUCAUGGGGAUCAUAGCAGAUAAGUUCUUAAUUUACUCAACUAUGUGCUUUUUUAAAGUAAUUAAGCUAUUUUAAAGUUAUAUAUUGGGCUGGGAAUAUAGCUCAGCGGCACAGCACCUGCCUGGCAAGCCCAAGGUCCUGAGUUCAAU